Molecule: ribosomal RNA, 549 nt
Filed under: uncultured bacterium
Lineage: Bacteria
Description: bacterial SSU rRNA
Rfam family: Bacterial small subunit ribosomal RNA
Source: RNAcentral
UGGGGAAUUUUGGACAAUGGGCGCAAGCCUGAUCCAGCCAUGCCGCGUGUCUGAAGAAGGCCUUCGGGUUGUAAAGGACUUUUGUCAGGGAAGAAAAGGCUGUUGCUAAUAUCAGCGGCUGAUGACGGUACCUGAAGAAUAAGCACCGGCUAACUACGUGCCAGCAGCCGCGGUAAUACGUAGGGUGCAAGCGUUAAUCGGAAUUACUGGGCGUAAAGCGAGCGCAGACGGUUACUUAAGCAGGAUGUGAAAUCCCCGGGCUCAACCUGGGAACUGCGUUCUGAACUGGGUGACUAGAGUGUGUCAGAGGGAGGUAGAAUUCCGCGUGUAGCAGUGAAAUGCGUAGAGAUGUGGAGGAAUACCGAUGGCGAAGGCAGCCUCCUGGGAUAACACUGACGUUCAUGCUCGAAAGCGUGGGUAGCAAACAGGAUUAGAUACCCUGGUAGUCCACGCCCUAAACGAUGUCAAUUAGCUGUUGGGCAACUUGAUUGUUCAGUAGCGUAGCUAACGCGUGAAAUUGACCGCCUGGGGAGUACGGUCGCAAGAUUA